UCCCUGGUGGUCCAACGGUUGGGAUUUGGCACUCUCACUGCCACGGCCCAGGUUCAAUCCCUGGUUGGGGAA
Budorcas taxicolor (takin) is the source of this 72-nucleotide non-coding RNA. The record is from the annotation of a RefSeq genome assembly. Lineage: Eukaryota; Metazoa; Chordata; Mammalia; Artiodactyla; Bovidae.